RNAcentral lists this ribosomal RNA (253 nucleotides) under uncultured bacterium. RNAcentral's name for it is "partial 16S ribosomal RNA". It matches the Rfam family "Bacterial small subunit ribosomal RNA", at positions 524 to 776 of the family's 1533-position model. The record is from RNAcentral.
GACGUAGGGCGCGAGCGUUGUCCGGAAUUAUUGGGCGUAAAGAGCUCGUAGGCGGUCUGUUGCGUCCGCUGUGAAAACUCGGGGCUUAACCCCGAGCCUGCAGUGGAUACGGGCAGACUAGAGGUAGGUAGGGGAGAAUGGAAUUCCCGGUGUAGCGGUGAAAUGCGCAGAUAUCGGGAGGAACACCGGUGGCGAAGGCGGUUCUCUGGGCCGUUACCUGACGCUGAGGAGCGAAAGCGUGGGAGCGAACAGG